GGGUGGUUAGCUCAGCUGGUUCAGAGCACCUGCCUUACAAGCAGGGGGUCACUGGUUCGAAUCCAGUACUACCCA
RNAcentral lists this transfer RNA (75 nucleotides) under Bacteroidota bacterium. Its description in RNAcentral is "tRNA-Val". It matches the Rfam family "tRNA". From Rfam's summary of the family: Transfer RNA (tRNA) molecules are approximately 80 nucleotides in length. Their secondary structure includes four short double-helical elements and three loops (D, anti-codon, and T loops). The record is from RNAcentral. RNAcentral also lists the same sequence under 3 other names. Lineage: Bacteria; Pseudomonadati; Bacteroidota.